CCUUCUCUCAGACCAAGCUUACAAACCCCUUGUAAAACCCUAUUUUCUGGAUUUCAGAUUAUCAAUUGAUGCCGUCUGUGGGAACGAAGGAGGUCUUUUCAUCGCUGGAGUUCCAUUCUCAAACAACACCCACUGAGAUCCACAAUGGCCAAUCAUAACGAAAACAACAUUGUUAACACCCCCAAUGACUUGAGCUCUGUCCAAGAGGGACAGCAGUUCGCUUUCUCUAGCCCCACAACUCCUAACAACCAACCACCAAUCCCUUUCAAUCCCUCGCCGAGCUCGGCGGGGAAUGUACCUGGAAACACCCUAUCCAACCAAGACCUCCGAGCCGUGGC
Molecule: long non-coding RNA, 338 nt
Filed under: Manihot esculenta (cassava)
Lineage: Eukaryota; Viridiplantae; Streptophyta; Magnoliopsida; Malpighiales; Euphorbiaceae
Description: long non-coding RNA (MESC_LNC012699)
Source: RNAcentral